This 813-nucleotide ribosomal RNA is filed under the name uncultured organism. Its description in RNAcentral is "bacterial SSU rRNA". It matches the Rfam family "Bacterial small subunit ribosomal RNA", at positions 601 to 1404 of the family's 1533-position model. The record is from RNAcentral.
CCCCCGGCUUAACCGGCGAAUGCUUGGGCGAACUGGCAGUCUUGAGGCAGGUAAGGGCGAGUGGAACUCUUGGUGGACCGGUGGAAUGCGUAGAUAUCAAGAGGAACGCCGGAGGCGAAAGCGACUCGCUGGGCCUGACCUGACGCUGAGGUGCGAAAGCCAGGGGAGCGAACGGGAUUAGAUACCCCGGUAGUCCUGGCCAUAAACGAUGUCCACUAGAUCGGUGAACCUCUGACAGUGCGCCGGUCGAAACAAAAGCGUUAAGUGGACCGCCUGGGGAGUACGGUCGCAAGGCUAAAACUCAAAGGAAUUGACGGGGGCUCACACAAGCGGUGGAGCAUGUUGCUUAAUUCGAUGCAACGCGAAGAACCUUAUCCUGGGCUUGACAUGGUAGGAUGCCUCCCUGGAAACAGGGUUGGUUGCCCCUCGGGGUGAAACUAUCACAGGUGCUGCAUGGCUGUCGUCAGCUCGUGUCGUGAGAUGUUGGGUUAAGUCCCGUAACGAGCGAAACCCUUGUCGUUAGUUGCCAGCGCGUAAUGGCGGGGACUCUAGCGAGACUGCCGGUGUUACACCGGAGGAAGGUGGGGAUGACGUCAAGUCCUCAUGGCCUUUAUGUCCAGGGCUGCAAACGUGCUACAAUGGCGUGUACAAACCGACGCAAGACCGCGAGGUGGAGCAAAUCGGAAAAAGCACGCCCCAGUUCGGAUUGGAGUCUGCAACUCGACUCCAUGAAGUCGGAAUCGCUAGUAAUCGCGUAUCAGCUCGACGCGGUGAAUGUGUUCCUGAGCAUUGUACACACCGCCCGUCAAGUCA